CACUAACGCUGGCGGCAUGCCUAACACAUGCAAGUCGAACGAGACCUUCGGGUCUAGUGGCGCACGGGUGCGUAACGCGUGGGAACCUGCCCUUAGGUUCGGAAUAACUCCCCGAAAGGGGUGCUAAUACCGGAUAAUGUCUUCGGACCAAAGAUUUAUCGCCUUUGGAUGGGCCCGCGUUGGAUUAGCUAGUUGGUAGGGUAAAAGCCUACCAAGGCGACGAUCCAUAGCUGGUCUGAGAGGAUGAUCAGCCACACUGGGACUGAGACACGGCCCAGACUCCUACGGGAGGCAGCAGUGGGGAAUAUUGGACAAUGGGCGAAAGCCUGAUCCAGCAAUGCCGCGUGAGUGAUGAAGGCCUUAGGGUUGUAAAGCUCUUUUACCCGGGAUGAUAAUGACAGUACCGGGAGAAUAAGCUCCGGCUAACUCCGUG
This 433-nucleotide ribosomal RNA is filed under the name uncultured bacterium. RNAcentral describes it as "partial 16S ribosomal RNA". It matches the Rfam family "Bacterial small subunit ribosomal RNA", at positions 29 to 507 of the family's 1533-position model. The record is from RNAcentral.